GUCUUUUUGCUUAAAAUUGGUUUGCAUAAUAUUCUUUUAAAUUAUUGUUUGUUGUUUGAUUUCUGUUUUAAUACAAGGGAUUAGACUGUUAAAAUCUAUAAAUCGAAUGCUGGGUUGUUGAAUGUAUAAGAUGCUUGUAACAUCAACCAUGUGUUGACAUUGAUGCUUCGUCCGUUUAAGGACAUUCUUCCUAAAGCUUGUUG
This 203-nucleotide long non-coding RNA is filed under the name Mytilus galloprovincialis (Mediterranean mussel). The record is from RNAcentral. Lineage: Eukaryota; Metazoa; Mollusca; Bivalvia; Mytilida; Mytilidae.